GCAUUGGUGGCUCAGUGGUAGAAUUUUAGCCUUCAAUGCAGGAGACCCGUGUUCGAUUCCCAGCCAAUGCA
This 71-nucleotide transfer RNA is filed under the name Loxodonta africana (African savanna elephant). It matches the Rfam family "tRNA". From Rfam's summary of the family: Transfer RNA (tRNA) molecules are approximately 80 nucleotides in length. Their secondary structure includes four short double-helical elements and three loops (D, anti-codon, and T loops). Lineage: Eukaryota; Metazoa; Chordata; Mammalia; Proboscidea; Elephantidae. The record is from Rfam by way of RNAcentral.